RNAcentral lists this long non-coding RNA (444 nucleotides) under Lepisosteus oculatus (spotted gar). RNAcentral's name for it is "lncRNA (ENSLOCG00000021836.1)". The record is from RNAcentral. Lineage: Eukaryota; Metazoa; Chordata; Actinopteri; Semionotiformes; Lepisosteidae.
GAUAUAGCUUAGAUCUUACUGAGAAGUGUUGUUUCCCAUUAACAGUCACAUGUUGGAUUUCUCAGAUUCACUUGGAAGUCUACAAUAAGUUUGUUCUCCCCAUGGAAGGCUUGCAGAUGGAAACUCUGCCUCUGUUAACUGCCUUGGCAGAGAAAAAAAGUUUGGCAACCAGCACUUCGUUAACGAUUCCCAGCUGCAGCCUCAGCUCUUGGAAUGCUGACACCUGGAACAUAUCUGCAAUGGGCUUUAAUGACACUAAUCUACUAGUAAGGUAGAUAGUGUUUUUGGGACAACAAUGUUGGCACUCUUCCUGCACUCUCUGCCAAAAGGGAAAGGCUUGCACAAAUGGCAAGGGUGAUCUCCCUGCAUUCACCAUACUGGACACCAGUCAGCAGUGCAAGGGUGAACCAUACACAUCCCCCAGAGGCCAACAGUGGAUUUGUA